AUGCUCUUUAACAAUCUGGAAAGCUGACUAGUAAAUUGAAUUUUCGAAUUCAAUACUAAAUAGUUUCUACUUUAUAAGUAGGAACGAGUUCUCAAGCAACACACAUUCAAGUGUCUUGUGUAAGAGUCCGGCGAAAACAAAAAAUUCUCUCUAACGAGAGAGUGAACCUUGGUUGUUGCCAUACGAAACCUCUUGGGGUUGUAUGGUUAAGUGACUAAGCGUACACGGUGGAUGCCUAGGCAGUCAGAGGCGAUGAAGGACGUGCUAACCUGCGAUAAGCCAAGAGAAGAUGGUAAGAAUCACUAUACUCUUGGAUUUCCGAAUGGGGAAACCCAGCUGCAUAAGCAGUUAUCGUUACGUGAAUACAUAGCGUAGCGAGGCGAACCGGGGGAACUGAAACAUCUAAGUACCCCGAGGAAGAGAAAUCAACCGAGAUUCCGGCAGUAGCGGCGAGCGAACCCGGAUUAGCCCUUAAGCUAGUUUGAUGACAGGUGAAUGUGCUGGAAAGCACAGCGAUACAGGGUGAUAGCCCCGUAACCGGUAGCAUCUUAUCAGUGAAAACGAGUAGGACGGGACACGUGAUAUCCUGUUUGAAGAUGGGGGGACCAUCCUCCAAGGCUAAAUACUCCUGACUGACCGAUAGUGAACCAGUACCGUGAGGGAAAGGCGAAAAGAACCCCUGUGAGGGGAGUGAAAUAGAACCUGAAACCGUGUACGUACAAGCAGUAGGAGCCCACUUGUUGGGUGACUGCGUACCUUUUGUAUAAUGGGUCAGCGACUUAAUUUUAGUAGCAAGGUUAACCGAUUAGGGGAGCCGUAGGGAAACCGAGUCUUAACUGGGCGUACAGUUGCUAGGAUUAGACCCGAAACCAGGUGAUCUAGCCAUGGGCAGGUUGAAGGUGAGGUAACACUUACUGGAGGACCGAACCGACUAAUGUUGAAAAAUUAGCGGAUGACUUGUGGCUAGGGGUGAAAGGCCAAUCAAACCUGGAGAUAGCUGGUUCUCCCCGAAAGCUAUUUAGGUAGCGCCUCGGACGAAUACUACUGGGGGUAGAGCACUGUUAAGGCUAGGGGGUCAUCCCGACUUACCAACCCUUUGCAAACUCCGAAUACCAGUAAGUACUAUCCGGGAGACACACGGCGGGUGCUAACGUCCGUCGUGGAGAGGGAAACAACCCAGACCGCCAGCUAAGGUCCCAAAGUUAUAGCUAAGUGGGAAACGAUGUGGGAAGGCUCAGACAGCCAGGAUGUUGGCUUAGAAGCAGCCAUCAUUUAAAGAAAGCGUAAUAGCUCACUGGUCGAGUCGGCCUGCGCGGAAGAUUUAACGGGGCUAAGCUAUACACCGAAGCUGCGGCAAUGUGACUUGUUCACAUUGGGUAGGGGAGCGUUCUGUAAGCGGUUGAAGGUGCAUCGUAAGGUGUGCUGGACGUAUCAGAAGUGCGAAUGCUGACAUGAGUAACGAUAAAGGGAGUGAAAAACUCCCUCGCCGGAAGACCAAGGGUUCCUGUCCAACGUUAAUCGGGGCAGGGUAAGUCGACCCCUAAGGCGAGGCCGAAAGGCGUAGUCGAUGGGAAACGGGUUAAUAUUCCCGUACUUCUUAUAAUUGCGAUGGGGGGACGGAGAAGGCUAGGUGGGCCUGGCGACGGUUGUCCAGGUUCAAGGGUGUAGGCUGUAAUCUUAGGCAAAUCCGGGAUUACACUAGGCUGAGACCCGAUGUCGAGUCACUACGGUGAUGAAGUCAUUGAUGCCAUGCUUCCGGGAAAAGCCUCUAAGCUUCAGAUUAUAAGAAAUCGUACCCCAAACCGACACAGGUGGUCGGGUAGAGAAUACCAAGGCGCUUGAGAGAACUCGGGUGAAGGAACUAGGCAAAAUGGUACCGUAACUUCGGGAGAAGGUACGCUGCCGGCGGUGAUNNNNNNNNNNNNNUAAGCUGCUGGCAGUCGCAGAUACCAGGUGGCUGCAACUGUUUAUUAAAAACACAGCACUGUGCAAAAUCGAAAGAUGACGUAUACGGUGUGACGCCUGCCCGGUGCCGGAAGGUUAAUUGAUGGGGUUAGACUUCGGUCGAAGCUCUUGAUCGAAGCCCCGGUAAACGGCGGCCGUAACUAUAACGGUCCUAAGGUAGCGAAAUUCCUUGUCGGGUAAGUUCCGACCUGCACGAAUGGCGUAAUGAUGGCCACGCUGUCUCCACCCGAGACUCAGUGAAAUUGAAAUCGCAGUGAAGAUGCUGCGUACCCGCGGCUAGACGGAAAGACCCCGUGAACCUUUACUACAGCUUGGCACUGAACAUUGAACCUACAUGUGUAGGAUAGGUGGGAGGCUUUGAAACCAUGUCGCUAGAUAUGGUGGAGCCGUCCUUGAAAUACCACCCUUGUAGUUUUGAUGUUCUAACGUCGCCCCGUUAUCCGGGGUGCGGACAGUGCCUGGUGGGUAGUUUGACUGGGGCGGUCUCCUCCCAAAGCGUAACGGAGGAGCACGAAGGUGGGCUAAUCACGGUCGGACAUCGUGAGGUUAGUGCAAUGGCAUAAGCCCGCUUGACUGCGAGAAUGACAAUUCGAGCAGGUGCGAAAGCAGGUCAUAGUGAUCCGGUGGUUCUGUAUGGAAGGGCCAUCGCUCAACGGAUAAAAGGUACUCCGGGGAUAACAGGCUGAUACCGCCCAAGAGUUCAUAUCGACGGCGGUGUUUGGCACCUCGAUGUCGGCUCAUCACAUCCUGGGGCUGAAGUCGGUCCCAAGGGUAUGGCUGUUCGCCAUUUAAAGUGGUACGCGAGCUGGGUUUAGAACGUCGUGAGACAGUUCGGUCCCUAUCUGCCGUGGGCGUUGGAUGAUUGAGAGGGGCUGCUCCUAGUACGAGAGGACCGGAGUGGACGAACCUCUGGUGUUCGGGUUGUGUCGCCAGACGCAUUGCCCGGUAGCUAAGUUCGGAAUCGAUAACCGCUGAAAGCAUCUAAGCGGGAAGCGAGCCUCGAGAUGAGUCAUCCCUGAACCUAUAAGGUUCCUAAAGGGUUGUUGAAGACUACGACGUAGAUAGGCAGGGUGUGUAAGCGCUGUGAGGCGUUGAGCUAACCUGUACUAAUUGCCCGUGAGGCUUAACCA
Molecule: ribosomal RNA, 3095 nt
Filed under: Photobacterium lutimaris
Lineage: Bacteria; Pseudomonadati; Pseudomonadota; Gammaproteobacteria; Vibrionales; Vibrionaceae
Description: partial 23S ribosomal RNA
Rfam family: Bacterial large subunit ribosomal RNA
Source: RNAcentral